This 626-nucleotide ribosomal RNA is filed under the name Exophiala jeanselmei. RNAcentral's name for it is "LSU rRNA". It matches the Rfam family "Eukaryotic large subunit ribosomal RNA", at positions 34 to 671 of the family's 3401-position model. Lineage: Eukaryota; Fungi; Ascomycota; Eurotiomycetes; Chaetothyriales; Herpotrichiellaceae. The record is from RNAcentral.
UUUUGCAUAUCAAUAAGCGGAGGAAAAGAAACCAACAGGGAUUGCCUCAGUAACGGCGAGUGAAGCGGCAACAGCUCAAAUUUGAAAUCUGGCCUCUUCGGGGCCCGAGUUGUAAUUUGUAGAGGAUGUUUCGGGUACCGCCUCGGUUUAAAUUUCUUGGAACAGAAUGUCAUAGAGGGUGAGAAUCCCGUCUUGGACCGGCGGUAGGGCCCAUGUGAAACUCCUUCGACGAGUCGAGUUGUUUGGGAAUGCAGCUCAAAAUGGGUGGUAAAUUUCAUCUAAAGCUAAAUAUUGGCCAGAGACCGAUAGCGCACAAGUAGAGUGAUCGAAAGAUGAAAAGAACUUUGAAAAGAGAGUUAAACAGUAUGUGAAAUUGUUGAAAGGGAAGCGCUUGCAACCAGACUUGAGCGCGGCGGUUCCCCCUUCCUUUUGGUUGGGUUACUCCGCCGUGUCCAGGCCAACAUCGGUUCUGGGGGUCGGUCAAAGGCCCGGGGAAUGUAUCUACUCCUUCGGGGGUAGACUUAUAGCCCCGGGUGUCAUGCGACCACCCGGGACCGAGGAACGCGCUUCGGCUCGGAUGUUGGCGUAAUGGUUGUCAGCGACCCGUCUUGAAACACGGACCAAAA